UACGUAGGUGGCAAGCGUUGUCCGGAAUUAUUGGGCGUAAAGCGCGCGCAGGCGGUCCCUUAAGUCUGAUGUGAAAGCCCACGGCUCAACCGUGGAGGGUCAUUGGAAACUGGGGGACUUGAGUGCAGAAGAGGAAAGUGGAAUUCCAUGUGUAGCGGUGAAAUGCGUAGAGAUGUGGAGGAACACCAGUGGCGAAGGCGACUUUCUGGUCUGUAACUGACACUGAGGCGCGAAAGCGUGGGGAGCGAACAGG
RNAcentral lists this ribosomal RNA (253 nucleotides) under uncultured bacterium. RNAcentral describes it as "partial 16S ribosomal RNA". It matches the Rfam family "Bacterial small subunit ribosomal RNA", at positions 524 to 776 of the family's 1533-position model. The record is from RNAcentral.